Molecule: long non-coding RNA, 1248 nt
Organism: Hordeum vulgare subsp. vulgare (domesticated barley)
Lineage: Eukaryota; Viridiplantae; Streptophyta; Magnoliopsida; Poales; Poaceae
Exons: 2
Source: RefSeq, a predicted model, not a curated record
GACCCCUCCCAGGCCGCUCGGAUCUCGCCACCCGACCCAUCUACAAACCCUACCUGCGGUGGCGGCUUGCCCGGCAGCAGCGCCUUCACGUUGCCCGGCGGCAGCUCCUUUACGUAGCUAAGGGUGCGUGUGAGAAGAAGGUGGUGGAUGUGAGCAACAAGCUGAGGGUGCGGACGAGCGCCGAGAUCGAGCAGCAGAGCACCUCCGGCCGAUUCACCAUGAUCGUCAACAGGCCAGUGGCCACCGGCCAGCAUGGCGGAUGUCAUAAUAAGGGAUAUCAAGGGCAAGUUCUUGAAGAUUACCGAAACCGCCGACAAGGUCUUAGUGCUGCCGGAGCUCGUCCCGUACCAGAAGAAAGAUCAGUGGUUCAUGAUUUAAGAAGCUGGUAGGGUCAAACCAUGUGUUUGCAUGGUCGUCCUUAUUUAGAAGCUUUUGUGCAACUGAAUAGACGUGCGUCCAUGAAAGGUUAUCUUGUUUUUCUUACAUAAAUCAGUUUGUCACUCGUAUUUCAUUCAUCACCCUACUCUUCCAGUUGGAAGUUGUGGUAAACUAUUGACCAAGCCCACUUUUUAUUAAUUGUGGAUUUAUGUGUUUUUCUUCUUUCUUGUUUAUUAGCCAGUGUUGCCUACAUGUCACUUCAAUCUUCCACCAUUGAAGUUACUGUAAAAACAAAUCGUGAUGUUACUUUAAACAAAUGACCAUAUGUGCUUCCUUCCCACGAAAUUACAGGUUUUAUUUUUCACUUUCUUGGAUGAAAAUUAUUGUUUUUUGACUAAGAAUGAAGAUAAAUUUAUUGUACACAUGAAAUCAACAUAAUUUUUUAUAUGAAUUGAAAUCUAUAUCCAAGAACAAACAAAUGCACCCACUGUACUCUUCUCCUGUCAUCUUUGCACAUUGUUUUUCUAUGCUAUGUAGUGCACUUGGACAUAGAUUCAACAUGAGUCUAAUUUGCAGUUGCCGCUUAGUCGUUUGCAAGUGAUUUUUGUAGAGAAAUGGGACUUGGAGGUCAGCACAGAACUUGAUUGAUAUGUUUUGUGUUUCCUAUGAUAGUAGCUGUUUAUCAGAGGGUCUGUGUUUGUGUUUUCUCAUUUGGAUAUGGCUAACGCCCAACCAUGUACCUGAUCUGUUGUAACAUUAUAAACUAUUGAAGUAUAUGACUCGGACACUAGAUGAUGUAUUUGUUGAUGUGCUGGUAGUUCAAUCUGUAUAUUAAAUGACUUUUAAAUUUAUGGCUCAUUAUUUGCAGUU